GGGUUGUGAGGUUAAGCGACUAAGCGUACACGGUGGAUGCCCUGGCAGUCAGAGGCGAUGAAGGGCGUGCUAAUCUGCGAUAAGCGCCGGUAAGGUGAUAUGAACCGUUAUAACCGGCGAUACCCGAAUGGGGAAACCCAGUGUGAUUCGUCACACUAUCAUUAACUGAAUCCAUAGGUUAAUGAGGCGAACCGGGGGAACUGAAACAUCUAAGUACCCCGAGGAAAAGAAAUCAACCGAGAUUCCCCCAGUAGCGGCGAGCGAACGGGGAGGAGCCCAGAGCCUGAAUCAGCAUGUGUGUUAGUGGAAGCGUCUGGAAAGGCGCGCGAUACAGGGUGACAGCCCCGUACACAAAAGCGCAUGUGCUGUGAGCUCGAUGAGUAGGGCGGGACACGUGGUAUCCUGUCUGAAUAUGGGGGGACCAUCCUCCAAGGCUAAAUACUCCUGACUGACCGAUAGUGAACCAGUACCGUGAGGGAAAGGCGAAAAGAACCCCGGCGAGGGGAGUGAAAAAGAACCUGAAACCGUGUACGUACAAGCAGUGGGAGCACCCUUCGGGGUGUGACUGCGUACCUUUUGUAUAAUGGGUCAGCGACUUAUAUUCUGUAGCAAGGUUAACCGUAUAGGGGAGCCGGAGGGAAACCGAGUCUUAAUUGGGCGUUAAGUUGCAGGGUAUAGACCCGAAACCCGGUGAUCUAGCCAUGGGCAGGUUGAAGGUUGGGUAACACUAACUGGAGGACCGAACCGACUAAUGUUGAAAAAUUAGCGGAUGACCUGUGGCUGGGGGUGAAAGGCCAAUCAAACCGGGAGAUAGCUGGUUCUCCCCGAAAGCUAUUUAGGUAGCGCCUCGUGAAUUCAUCUCCGGGGGUAGAGCACUGUUUCGGCUAGGGGGCCAUCCCGGCUUACCAACCCGAUGCAAACUGCGAAUACCGGAGAAUGUUAUCACGGGAGACACACGGCGGGUGCUAACGUCCGUCGUGAAGAGGGAAACAACCCAGACCGCCAGCUAAGGUCCCAAAGUCAUGGUUAAGUGGGAAACGAUGUGGGAAGGCCCAGACAGCCAGGAUGUUGGCUUAGAAGCAGCCAUCAUUUAAAGAAAGCGUAAUAGCUCACUGGUCGAGUCGGCCUGCGCGGAAGAUGUAACGGGGCUAAACCAUGCACCGAAGCUGCGGCAGCGAACGUAUCACCCAAGACAACUUUACGGAGUUGACGAUUGACGGAGCGAAGCGACGUCAAAGCGUUCAUUAAAGUCGAGUUGGCUUAGGGAUACGUUCGUUGGGUAGGGGAGCGUUCUGUAAGCCUGUGAAGGUGUGUCGUGAGGCAUGCUGGAGGUAUCAGAAGUGCGAAUGCUGACAUAAGUAACGAUAAAGCGGGUGAAAAGCCCGCUCGCCGGAAGACCAAGGGUUCCUGUCCAACGUUAAUCGGGGCAGGGUGAGUCGACCCCUAAGGCGAGGCCGAAAGGCGUAGUCGAUGGGAAACGGGUUAAUAUUCCCGUACUUGGUGUUACUGCGAAGGGGGGACGGAGAAGGCUAUGUUGGCCGGGCGACGGUUGUCCCGGUUUAAGCGUGUAGGUGUGUGUUCCAGGUAAAUCCGGUUCACUUUAACACUGAGGCGUGACGACGAGGCACUACGGUGCUGAAGCAACAAAUGCCCUGCUUCCAGGAAAAGCCUCUAAGCAUCAGGUAACACGAAAUCGUACCCCAAACCGACACAGGUGGUCAGGUAGAGAAUACCAAGGCGCUUGAGAGAACUCGGGUGAAGGAACUAGGCAAAAUGGUGCCGUAACUUCGGGAGAAGGCACGCUGACACGUAGGUGAAGUGAUUUACUCAUGGAGCUGAAGUCAGUCGAAGAUACCAGCUGGCUGCAACUGUUUAUUAAAAACACAGCACUGUGCAAACACGAAAGUGGACGUAUACGGUGUGACGCCUGCCCGGUGCCGGAAGGUUAAUUGAUGGGGUCAGCGUAAGCGAAGCUCCUGAUCGAAGCCCCGGUAAACGGCGGCCGUAACUAUAACGGUCCUAAGGUAGCGAAAUUCCUUGUCGGGUAAGUUCCGACCUGCACGAAUGGCGUAAUGAUGGCCAGGCUGUCUCCACCCGAGACUCAGUGAAAUUGAACUCGCUGUGAAGAUGCAGUGUACCCGCGGCAAGACGGAAAGACCCCGUGAACCUUUACUAUAGCUUGACACUGAACAUUGAGCCUUGAUGUGUAGGAUAGGUGGGAGGCUUUGAAGUGUGGACGCCAGUCUGCAUGGAGCCGACCUUGAAAUACCACCCUUUAAUGUUUGAUGUUCUAACGUGGACCCGUAAUCCGGGUUGCGGACAGUGUCUGGUGGGUAGUUUGACUGGGGCGGUCUCCUCCUAAAGAGUAACGGAGGAGCACGAAGGUUGGCUAAUCCUGGUCGGACAUCAGGAGGUUAGUGCAAUGGCAUAAGCCAGCUUGACUGCGAGCGUGACGGCGCGAGCAGGUGCGAAAGCAGGUCAUAGUGAUCCGGUGGUUCUGAAUGGAAGGGCCAUCGCUCAACGGAUAAAAGGUACUCCGGGGAUAACAGGCUGAUACCGCCCAAGAGUUCAUAUCGACGGCGGUGUUUGGCACCUCGAUGUCGGCUCAUCACAUCCUGGGGCUGAAGUAGGUCCCAAGGGUAUGGCUGUUCGCCAUUUAAAGUGGUACGCGAGCUGGGUUUAGAACGUCGUGAGACAGUUCGGUCCCUAUCUGCCGUGGGCGCUGGAGAACUGAGGGGGGCUGCUCCUAGUACGAGAGGACCGGAGUGGACGCAUCACUGGUGUUCGGGUUGUCAUGCCAAUGGCACUGCCCGGUAGCUAAAUGCGGAAGAGAUAAGUGCUGAAAGCAUCUAAGCACGAAACUUGCCCCGAGAUGAGUUCUCCCUGAGACUUAGAGUCUCCUGAAGGAACGUUGAAGACGACGACGUUGAUAGGCCGGGUGUGUAAGCGCAGCGAUGCGUUGAGCUAACCGGUACUAAUGAACCGUGAGGCUUAACCUUACA
Molecule: ribosomal RNA, 3002 nt
Filed under: Salmonella enterica subsp. enterica serovar Typhimurium
Lineage: Bacteria; Pseudomonadati; Pseudomonadota; Gammaproteobacteria; Enterobacterales; Enterobacteriaceae
Description: partial 23S ribosomal RNA
Rfam family: Bacterial large subunit ribosomal RNA
Source: RNAcentral